Unclassified non-coding RNA from Pongo abelii (Sumatran orangutan), 117 nucleotides. It matches the Rfam family "Metazoan signal recognition particle RNA". Rfam says of the family: The signal recognition particle (SRP) is a universally conserved ribonucleoprotein. Lineage: Eukaryota; Metazoa; Chordata; Mammalia; Primates; Hominidae. The record is from Ensembl.
GCCAGGCGUGGUGGCUCACGUCUGUAAUCCCAGCACUUUGGGAGGCCGAGGUGGGCGGAUCACUUGAGGCCAGGGCUUCAAGACCAGCCUGGCCUACAUGGUGAAAGCCCAUCUCUA